UUAGAUAACUUAGUGGCGGACGGGUGAGUAACGCGUGGGUAACCUGCCUUACACAGGGGGAUAACACUUAGAAAUAGGUGCUAAUACCGCAUAAGCGCACAGUCCCGCAUGGGACAGAGUGAAAAACAUUAGUGGUGUAAGAUGGACCCGCGUCUGAUUAGCUUGUUGGCGGGGUAACGGCCCACCAAGGCGACGAUCAGUAGCCGGCCUGAGAGGGUGGACGGCCACGUUGGGACUGAGACACGGCCCAAACUCCUACGGAAGGCAGCAG
Molecule: ribosomal RNA, 271 nt
Filed under: uncultured bacterium
Lineage: Bacteria
Description: partial 16S ribosomal RNA
Rfam family: Bacterial small subunit ribosomal RNA
Source: RNAcentral